UACAGAGGUGGCAAGCGUUGUUCGGAAUUACUGGGCGUAAAGGGCGCGUAGGCGGCCUUCUAAGUCAGACGUGAAAUCCCCCGGCUUAACCUGGGAACUGCGUCUGAUACUGGGAGGCUUGAGUAUGGGAGAGGGAUGUAGAAUUCCAGGUGUAGCGGUGAAAUGCGUAGAUAUCUGGAGGAACACCGGUGGCGAAGGCGGCAUCCUGGACCGACACUGACACUGAGGAGCGAAAGCCAGGGGAGCAAACGGG
Molecule: ribosomal RNA, 253 nt
Filed under: uncultured bacterium
Lineage: Bacteria
Description: partial 16S ribosomal RNA
Rfam family: Bacterial small subunit ribosomal RNA
Source: RNAcentral